AUAACUUAACUUGAGUUCUUCUACGAACCAAACGAACCCAAGAUGGGGAAACAAAAUCUGAAAACGACGGACGGAUGGACGGACUGACGCACUCCUCUGCAGCAGGGUGGAAGGAGGAGGCGGCGGCGGGCGCUCAUGGGCGCCCGGAUCGGCAAAACUAAAGCGAUACUCUGAGAGAGACACAGUGAGAGGUUUCUUAGGCGAGAUCUAGAAGGGGGGAGGCGGCGCCAUCAGACCAGCAGGUGGUGGAGCGAUCCGAUCUGAUCUGGCGGGACGGGGCCCGGACCGGGACCCACCUUACGUGGGGCAGUCGCGGGCGAUGU
RNAcentral lists this long non-coding RNA (323 nucleotides) under Sorghum bicolor (sorghum). RNAcentral's name for it is "long non-coding RNA (SBIC_LNC005907)". Lineage: Eukaryota; Viridiplantae; Streptophyta; Magnoliopsida; Poales; Poaceae. The record is from RNAcentral.